This 23-nucleotide small nuclear RNA is filed under the name Arabidopsis thaliana (thale cress). RNAcentral describes it as "snRNA_03002". Lineage: Eukaryota; Viridiplantae; Streptophyta; Magnoliopsida; Brassicales; Brassicaceae. The record is from RNAcentral.
AAAACUGAAGUUUUGAUCCCUAU